GCUUACGGCCAUACUGAUCUUGCAAGCUAAGCAAGGUCAGGCCAAGUUAGUACUUGGAUGGGAGACUGCUUGGGAAUACCAGGUGCUGUAAGCU
RNAcentral lists this ribosomal RNA (94 nucleotides) under Salmo salar (Atlantic salmon). The record is from RNAcentral. Lineage: Eukaryota; Metazoa; Chordata; Actinopteri; Salmoniformes; Salmonidae.